This 460-nucleotide ribosomal RNA is filed under the name uncultured bacterium. Its description in RNAcentral is "partial 16S ribosomal RNA". It matches the Rfam family "Bacterial small subunit ribosomal RNA", at positions 338 to 795 of the family's 1533-position model. The record is from RNAcentral.
CCUACGGGUGACAGCAGUGAGGAAUAUUGGUCAAUGGGCGCGAGCCUGAUCCAGCCAAGUAGCGUGAAGGAUGACUGCCCUAGGGUUGUUAAACUCCGUUUAUAAAGAAAUAAAGUGAGGCACGUAUGCGUUUUUGUUUGGACUGUAUGAAUCAGGAACGCCUAAGUACGUGCCAGCAGCCGCGGUACUACGGAGGAUGCGAGCGUUAUCCGGAUUUAUUGGGUUUAAAGGGAGCGUAGAUGGGUUGUUAAGUCAGAUGUGAAAGUUUGCGGCUCAACCGUAGAAUUGCAAUUGAUACUGGCAGUCUUGAGUGCAGUAGAGGUAGGCGGAAUUCGUGGUGUAGCGGUGAAAUGCUUAGAUAUCUGGAAGAACACCGAUGGCGAAGGCAGCUUACUGAGCUGCAACUGACAUUGAUGCUCGAAAGUGUGGGUAGCAAACAGGAUUAGAUACCCGAGUAGUC